UAGCAAUUAGUAUAACAUAAUACCUCUAAUUUCGGCUUAGAAAACCCUGGCCCCAGCCAGGAUCGCUAA
Molecule: transfer RNA, 69 nt
Filed under: Tropiocolotes steudneri
Lineage: Eukaryota; Metazoa; Chordata; Lepidosauria; Squamata; Gekkonidae
Description: tRNA-Arg
Source: RNAcentral